Molecule: ribosomal RNA, 2940 nt
Filed under: Candidatus Aerophobota bacterium
Lineage: Bacteria; Candidatus Aerophobota
Description: bacterial LSU rRNA
Rfam family: Bacterial large subunit ribosomal RNA
Source: RNAcentral
UGUUCAAGCUAUUAAGGGCUGCUGGUGGAUGCCUUGGCAUUAACAGGCGAUGAAGGACGCGCCUACCUGCGAUAAGUUUCGGGGAGCUGGAAAGAAGCUAUGAUCCGGAAAUUUCCGAAUGGGGAAACCCACCGGGGUGAAAGCCCCGGUACCGUUAACUGAAUACAUAGGUUAUCGGAGCGAUACCCGCUGAAGUGAGACAUCUCAGUAAGCGGAGGAAAAGAAAUCAAAAGAGAUACCCUGAGUAGCGGCGAGCGAAAUGGGUAGAGCCCAAACCGUAUACUUUGUAUGCGGGGUUGUAGGGCUAGCCACAACGUAUCAAGAAGUCUAACCGAAUCCUCUGAAAAGCGGAGCGACACAAGGUGAAAGCCCUGUAGGUGAAAGGCGGAAAGAACAGGCUAGUACCUGAGUAGGGCCGGACACGUGAAACCCGGUCUGAAUCUGGGGAGACCACUCUCCAAGGCUAAAUACUCGUUAAUGACCGAUAGUGAACAAGUACAGUGAUGGAAAGGUGAAAAGAACCCUCGAUAAGGGAGUGAAAUAGAACCUGAAACCAGCAGCUUACAAGCUGUCAGAGGCCUAUGGUCCUUUUAGGACAAUGGCUGAUGGCGUGCCUUUUGCAUGAUGAGCCAGCGAGUUGUGUUAUACGGCAAGGUUAAGUAGACGUCUCUACGGAGCCGAAGCGAAAGCGAGUGUGAAAAGCGCGUAUAGUCGUAUGAUGCAGACACGAAACCAAGUGAUCUACCUAUGACCAGGUUGAAGCAAGGGUAACACCUUGUGGAGGACCGAACCAGUACACGUUGAAAAGUGUUUGGAUGAGUUGUGGGUAGGGGUGAAAGGCCAAUCAAACUUGGUAAUAUCUUGUUCUCUCCGAAAUAACUUUAGGGUUAGCCUCAACAUAUGUGUAUGCAGGGGUAGAGCACUGAAUCCCCAAGGGGGUCUACCGACCUACCGACGGGAAUCAAACUCCGAAUACUGUAUACCCGGUUGGGAGAUAGACUGCGGGGGAUAAGCUUCGUAGUCAAAAGGGGAACAGCCCAGAUCGCCGAUUAAGGCCCCAAAUUCUAUGCUAAGUGUGUAAGGAAGUGAAGUUUCAAAGACAGUUGGGAUGUUGGCUUAGAGGCAGCCAUCAUUUAAAGAGUGCGUAACAGCUCACCAAUCGAGAGACUUUGCGCCGAUAAUUUACGGGACUAAAGCAUAGAGCCGAAAUCGCGGGUUUGUACGUAAGUACAAGCGGUAGGAGAGCGUAGUUAGGGCGCUGAAGGUGUACUGUAAGGAGCACUGGAGCGCUAACUAGUGAAGAUGCAUGGCAUGAGUAAACGAUAAAGGAGGUGAGAAUCCUCCUCGCCGAAAACCUAAGGUUUCCAGGGUAAAGCUCGUCUUCCCUGGGUUAGCCGGUCCCUAAGCCGAGGCAGAAAUGCGUAAGCGAUGGAAAGCAGGUUAAAUAUUCCUGCGCCGCCUAAGACUAUAGUGAUGGAGUGACGAAGUAUGUUAAGCACGCGGACUGUUGGUUAUGUCCGUUUUGAUAUGAGAGAGGCUGGUAGGCAAAUCCGCCAGCGUAAUCUUAGGUAUCAGAUAAAGGGAGCCCUCGUGGUGAACUGAUGGUGUAGCGCUAUGCUUCCUAGAAAUAGCUUCUAGCUGUCGAUGGUGACCGUACCAAAACCGACACAGGUGGGUGUGAAGAAUAUUCUCAGGCGCGCGAGACAACUCUUGUUAAGGAACUCGGCAAAUUAUCCCCGUAACUUCGGGAGAAGGGGAGCCACCGGGUGUGAUAGACUUCGCGUUUUGAGCACUUGGUGGCCGCAGAGAAAUGGCCCAGGCGACUGUUUAACAAAAACACAGCACUAUGCAAACACGUUAAGUGGAAGUAUAUGGUGUGAUGCCUGCCCAAUGCCAAAAGGUCAAAGGGAUUUGUUAGCUCCUCGGAGCGAAGCAUUGAACUUAAGCCCUGGUGAAUGGCGGCCGUAACUAUAACGGUCCUAAGGUAGCGAAAUUCCUUGUCGGGUAAGUUCCGACCUGCACGAAUGGCUCAACGAUCUGGGCGCUGUCUCAACAAGAGACUCGGUGAAAUUGUAGUAGCGGUGAAGAUGCCGUUUACCCGCAGUAAGACGGAAAGACCCCGUGAACCUUUACUGCACUCUAAUAUUGGCUUUUGACUUGUCAUAUGUAGGAUAGCCGGAAGACAUUGAAGUAGCUUCGUCAGGAGUUAUGGAGUCAUCCUUGAAAUACCGGUUUUGGCAGAUUGAAAAUCUAACGAUAUCCCAUGAAUCUGGGAGUCGGACAGUGUUAGACGGGCAGUUUGACUGGGGCGGUUUCCUCCUAAAGAGUAACGGAGGAGUCUAAAGCUUGCCUCAUUGUGGUUGGUAAUCACAAAUAGAGCGUAAAGGUAUAAGGCAAGUUGACUGCGAGACGUACAUGUCAAGCAGGAGCGAAAGCUGAGCUUAGUGAUCCGGCGGUUGAAAGUGGAAUCGCCGUCGCUUAACGGAUAAAAGGUACUCCGGGGAUAACAGGCUUAUCGCCACCAAGAGUUCAUAUCGACGUGGCGGUUUGGCACCUCGAUGUCGACUCAUCGCAUCCUGGGGCUGGAGAAGGUCCCAAGGGUUAGGCUGUUCGCCUAUUAAAGCGGUACGCGAGUUGGGUUCAGAACGUCGUGAGACAGUUUGGUUCCUAUCUGCUGUGGGCGUAGGAUACUUGAGGAGAGCUGCUUCUAGUACGAGAGGACCGAAGUGGACAAACCAAUGGUGUUCCGGUUGUUCUGCCAAGGGCAUAGCCGGGUAGCUAUGUUUGGAAAGGAUAAGCGUUGAAAGCAUCUAAACGCCAAGCCUCCUCCAAGAUAAGGUAUCCCAAUGAGACCCCCUGAAGACUACAGGGUUGAUAGGCUGGAUGUGUAAGCGCAGCAAUGUGUUUAGCUUACCAGUACUAAUAGGUCCACUGGCUUGG